GUUAUGUUAUGUCUGCCCUCCUCUGAUGCUUGGGAAAUCGUUUGUUCUGUGGGCUUCUCCUGAGGAGAUGGACGAUUUUCAGAGCUUGCAGAAAGGCCCGUGAGAAGAGCAGGGGAGGUAUAGUCAUUUCCCUUGUUUUACGGCAGAGGAAACUGAAGAUAAAGCUAUGAAGUGAAGCUGGCUAGUGGCUGCCUCAGGGUUACUACUGAUAUCACUGGACCCCUUCAGAACCAAGCAUGAAUGAAGCAAUCCUUUUUCCCACCUGCAAGUGAGGCUCUGAGGGAUUCUUCAGAAAUCAAGACUUUGACCCACUCCAUAUUAUGAAUGCCUCAGCCUACAAAGAGCUUGCCUAACCCAACAUCAAGGGGUGGACACGUGAUGCUGGACUUCCAGGAUGCCCAGGAACUAGCGUGGAUGUUUCCCAAGCAGUUUUCAACUUGGCCUUGAAGCCAUUGCUG
This 458-nucleotide long non-coding RNA is filed under the name Homo sapiens (human). Its description in RNAcentral is "non-protein coding lnc-MRE11-1:8". The record is from RNAcentral. Lineage: Eukaryota; Metazoa; Chordata; Mammalia; Primates; Hominidae.